Molecule: non-coding RNA, 275 nt
Organism: Pelobates cultripes (western spadefoot toad)
Lineage: Eukaryota; Metazoa; Chordata; Amphibia; Anura; Pelobatidae
Source: the annotation of a GenBank genome assembly
GUUGUCGCCUGUUGAACGAGGUGACCUUGCUCGGGUCCCAGGUGUACGGUUCCUAAAAUGGCUGCCAUAUACACGUCCACUGAUAGGAGACGCGGAAGGUAUUAAACUGAUCAGAACAAUACAAAACACACCACUAAUAAGGUUUCUCUCCUGUAUGGCUCCUCAAAUGAUGCUUAAGAUUAGAAGCGGCUGAAAAGCAUUUCUCACACAGGUAUUAAACUGAUAAAAAUAGUACCAAACACUCCACUCCUAUCUGGUGUCACAUUAGCUUGACC